RNAcentral lists this ribosomal RNA (741 nucleotides) under uncultured soil bacterium. Its description in RNAcentral is "bacterial SSU rRNA". It matches the Rfam family "Bacterial small subunit ribosomal RNA", at positions 34 to 767 of the family's 1533-position model. The record is from RNAcentral.
CGCUGGCGGCAUGCCUUACACAUGCAAGUCGAACGCGAAAGUGGGGGCAACCCUGCGAGUAGAGUGGCGAACGGGUGAGUAACACAUCGGAACGUACCCAGGAGUGGGGGACAACCUCGAGAAAUCGAGGCUAAUACCGCAUACGUCCUGAGGGAGAAAGCGGGGGAUUCGCAAGGACCUCGCGCUCAUGGAGCGGCCGAUGUCGGAUUAGCUAGUUGGCGGGGUAAGAGCUCACCAAGGCUACGAUCCGUAGCUGGUUUGAGAGAACGACCAGCCACACUGGGACUGAGACACGGCCCAGACUCCUACGGGAGGCAGCAGUGGGGAAUUUUGGACAAUGGGGGCAACCCUGAUCCAGCCAUGCCGCGUGAGUGAAGAAGGCCUUCGGGUUGUAAAGCUCUUUCGGCCGGAACGAAAUCGCGUACGCGAAUAACGUGCGUGGAUGACGGUACUGGAAGAAGAAGCACCGGCUAACUACGUGCCAGCAGCCGCGGUAAUACGUAGGGUGCGAGCGUUAAUCGGAAUUACUGGGCGUAAAGCGUGCGCAGGCGGUUCUGCAAGUCAGAUGUGAAAUCCCCGGGCUUAACCUGGGAACUGCGUUUGAAACUACGGAGCUAGAGUGCGGCAGAGGGGGGUGGAAUUCCACGUGUAGCAGUGAAAUGCGUAGAUAUGUGGAGGAACACCGAUGGCGAAGGCAGCCCCCUGGGCCGACACUGACGCUCAGGCACGAAAGCGUGGGGA